Molecule: ribosomal RNA, 497 nt
Filed under: uncultured bacterium
Lineage: Bacteria
Description: partial 16S ribosomal RNA
Rfam family: Bacterial small subunit ribosomal RNA
Source: RNAcentral
GAUGAACGCUGGCGGCGUGCCUAAUACAUGCAAGUCGAGCGAACAGACGAGGAGCUUGCUCCUUUGACGUUAGCGGCGGACGGGUGAGUAACACGUGGGUAACCUACCUAUAAGACUGGGAUAACUUCGGGAAACCGGAGCUAAUACCGGAUAAUAUUUCGAACCGCAUGGUUCGAUAGUGAAAGAUGGCUUUGCUAUCACUUAUAGAUGGACCUGCGCCGUAUUAGCUAGUUGGUAAGGUAACGGCUUACCAAGGCAACGAUACGUAGCCGACCUGAGAGGGUGAUCGGCCACACUGGAACUGAGACACGGUCCAGACUCCUACGGGAGGCAGCAGUAGGGAAUCGUCCGCAAUGGGCGAAAGCCUGACGCAGCAACGCCGCGUGAGUGAUGAAGGUCUUCGGAUCGUAAAACUCUGUUAUUAGGGAAGAACAAACGUGUAAGUAACUGUGCACGUCGUGACGGUACCUAAUCAGAAAGCCACGGCUAACUACGUG